AUUGAACGCUGGCGGCAGGCCUAACACAUGCAAGUCGAGCGGAUGAGAGGAGCUUGCUCCUCGAUUCAGCGGCGGACGGGUGAGUAAUGCCUAGGAAUCUGCCUAGUAGUGGGGGACAACGUUUCGAAAGGAACGCUAAUACCGCAUACGUCCUACGGGAGAAAGUGGGGGAUCUUCGGACCUCACGCUAUUAGAUGAGCCUAGGUCGGAUUAGCUAGUUGGUAGGGUAAAGGCCUACCAAGGCGACGAUCCGUAACUUGUCUGAGAGGAUGAGCAGUCACACUGGAACUGAGACACGGUCCAGACUCCUACGGGAGGCAGCAGUGGGGAAUAUUGGACAAGGGGCGAAAACCUGAUCCAGCCAUGCCGCGUGUGUGAAGAAGGCCUUCGGGUCGUAAAGCACUUUAAGUUGGGAGGAAGAGCUCAUAGCGAAUACCUGUGAGUUUUGACGUUACCAACAGAAUAAGCACCGGCUAACUUCGUGCCAGCAGCCGCGGUAA
RNAcentral lists this ribosomal RNA (500 nucleotides) under uncultured bacterium. Its description in RNAcentral is "partial 16S ribosomal RNA". It matches the Rfam family "Bacterial small subunit ribosomal RNA", at positions 30 to 523 of the family's 1533-position model. The record is from RNAcentral.